Molecule: unclassified non-coding RNA, 336 nt
Filed under: soil metagenome
Description: partial contains 5.8S ribosomal RNA, internal transcribed spacer 2, and large subunit ribosomal RNA
Rfam family: 5.8S ribosomal RNA (bases 1-120)
Source: RNAcentral
GAUGAAGAACGUAGCGAAAUGCGAUAAGUAAUGUGAAUUGCAGAAUACAGUGAAUCAUCGAAUCUUUGAACGCACAUUGCGCCCGCCAGUAUUCUGGCGGGCAUGCCUGUUCGAGCGUCAUUUCAACCAUCAAGCCCCCGGCUUGUGUUGGGGACCUGCGGCUGCCGCAGGCCCUGAAAAGCAGUGGCGGGCUCGCUGUCACACCGAGCGUAGUAGCAUACAUCUCGCUCUGGGCGUGCUGCGGGUUCCGGCCGUUAAACCACCUUCAUAACCCAAGGUUGACCUCGGAUCAGGUAGGAAGACCCGCUGAACUUAAGCAUAUCAAUAAGCGGAGGA